Molecule: ribosomal RNA, 254 nt
Filed under: uncultured bacterium
Lineage: Bacteria
Description: partial 16S ribosomal RNA
Rfam family: Bacterial small subunit ribosomal RNA
Source: RNAcentral
UACGAAGGGGGGCUAGCGUUGUUCGGAAUUACUGGGCGUAAAGCGCGCGCAGGCGGCUAUCCAAGUCAGUGGUGAAAGCCCGGAGCUCAACUCCGGAACUGCCAUUGAAACUGUUUAGCUUGAGGACGAGAGAGGUGAGUGGAAUUCCCAGUGUAGAGGUGAAAUUCGUAGAUAUUGGGAAGAACACCGGUGGCGAAGGCGGCUCACUGGCUCGUAUCUGACGCUCAGGCGCGACAGCGUGGGGAUCAAACAGG